GGACAGGUAGCUCAGUUGGUAGAGCGAAGGACUGAAAAUCCUUAGGUCGCCGGUUCAACCCCGGCCCUGUCCA
This 73-nucleotide transfer RNA is filed under the name Planctomycetaceae bacterium SCGC AG-212-F19. It matches the Rfam family "tRNA". From Rfam's summary of the family: Transfer RNA (tRNA) molecules are approximately 80 nucleotides in length. Lineage: Bacteria; Pseudomonadati; Planctomycetota; Planctomycetia; Planctomycetales; Planctomycetaceae. The record is from Rfam by way of RNAcentral.